GGGGGGGGGGGGGGGGGGGGGGGGGGGGGGGGGGGGGGGGGGGGGCGCGGCCUUCGGGCGGGCGGCGAGCGGCGGACGGGUGAGUGGUGCAUCGGAACCUGCCCAGUCGGGGGGGGUGACACUGCGGAAGAAGGGCGAAUACCGCAUACGUCCUGAGGGGGAACGCGGGUGAUCGCAAGACCUCGCGCGAUUGGAGUGGCGGAUGUCAGAUUAGCUAGUUGGUUGGGGAACGGCCUACCAAGGCGACGAUCUGUAGCUGGUCUGAGAGGAUGAUCAGCCACACUGGGACUGAGACACGGCCCAGACUCCUACGGGAGGCAGCAGUGGGGAAUUUUGGACAAUGGGGGCAACCCUGAUCCAGCCAUUCCGCGUGAGUGAAGAAGGCCUUCGGGUUGUAAAGCUCUUUCGGCAGGAACGAAACGGUGGGCUCUAACAUAGUCCGCUAAUGACGGUACCUGAAGAAGAAGCACCGGCUAACUACGUG
This 484-nucleotide ribosomal RNA is filed under the name uncultured bacterium. RNAcentral describes it as "partial 16S ribosomal RNA". It matches the Rfam family "Bacterial small subunit ribosomal RNA", at positions 38 to 507 of the family's 1533-position model. The record is from RNAcentral.